Molecule: long non-coding RNA, 1649 nt
Organism: Passer domesticus (house sparrow)
Lineage: Eukaryota; Metazoa; Chordata; Aves; Passeriformes; Passeridae
Exons: 4
Source: RefSeq, a predicted model, not a curated record
UGCCAAGUCAGCAUGACUGGACCCUAGCAGUCCCUCUCUUCCUCCUUCGGACCCUGCUUAUUUCUGUAAGCCCAUAGGUCACUUUCCCCUGACCCUUACUAUUGGACAGUUUUCAAAACCCCUGUAGGGUAUAAAAACCCCUGAUUCUGCCUGGUUUGGCAGAAGAGCUGUCACUGGGAACCUUUGCAGAACACCCCAAUAAAGAACCCUGCGGAACCCCACACGGCCUUCUCCUCUCUCUCCCUGCGUCUGCUGCUGCAGCACCUAGCAAGCUAAAGAGCUGAAAUCACUGAGCUGAUAAUCACUAAGAGCUGAAAAUCACAAGCUUGCUUAGGUGGCCUGAGCUCCCGCUGAGUUAUCCUGGCUCCGGCACCCACACUGGGCACAGCCCGGUAGGGAGCUGCCAUAAUACAUCCAAUCUUCAUAAUUAUUCCCACUGAAAGGACAGAAGAGAUGCAAUGGCUAUGCCACAGUGAGGAGUGGAACAGACCAAAGGACAGAGGUAGCUGGAAUACUUCACAUAAAUGACACUCUUCUCUGCUGGAGACAGCAGGUUGUCCUCUGUCUUGAACUGUCUCUUAUCUCACUGGAUCCCAAAACGCUGGAACACAUACCUGCCAAACUAUUACUGCUACCAGGAGCUAUUUCUGCUGAAAAUCUGAAUAACAUAAUCACAGAAGAGUGAGGGUUGAAAGGGACUUCUGGAGAUCAUCUAGGCCAACCCCCCUGCCAAGGUAGGGUCACCUACAGCAGAUGUGAAGCAACACAUCCAGAGCAAUGGCUACUUGUGCUGAAGUCCUGCUUCCCAGGAAGUGGCCUGAUAUUACUUGCUGAUGCGACAUAGUGAAUAAAAUCUUGGUCUUUUUCCUUGGCUUGUGUGCAGGAAACCUUUUGCUUUUGCUUAAGUAAAAUGCUCUCAACCCACAAAUUGUCUUCCAUCUUAUUCUCUGUCCCCUGUCCAGCUGAGGAGGGGGAGAGAUAAAGUAGUUGGUGGCUACCUGGCAUCUAGCCAAAGUCAAGACACCACAGCUCUUUUUGGCUUCCAAUAUGAGUCAAGAUAAUGACAGUUUUUUAUCAUGCAUGAUAUCAUUAUAAUGGCUGUUAUGUAGCAAGCUCCCCUACAGAACACUAAGUUUGUGAAGUUUAGGAACACGUUUACACAAACAAUGACUUUGUCCUUUGCCCUUACAUGGAUGGCUUCGCCAUGCUGGGGAAGUCUUGAGGGAAUGAUAAGGGAAUACAUCUCCCUUUCUCUGACCAUGAUUUAUAUGGAUGAUUUUAUUAUGCAAGCUCCCGCAGUCCUUGUUCAUCCCUACAGUGAACUGUUUAAAACUAAUAAUUAAUAAUACUAGCAUAUUAUGGGAUUUGUGUAAUCUUGUGUCGUCCUGAUAUAAGGGAAAACAGAAGAUGCAACAGUUAAAUGUGCUCAAGAGCUGCUUGCCAGGAAAUGCCCAGACAUCAGUUGUUGCUGGCAAGUAGAAAAUAAUAUGUGUCCUUUUCCUCAGCUUGCAUGCAACCUUUUGCUUUUGCUUCAGUAAACUACCUUAUUUUAACCUACUGGUUGUUUUCCGUCUUACUUUUUCUCCUCUUUUCAGGGGAGAGAAAAAGUGAAAAUGGGGACUGACAAAGUGGCAUCCAGCAAAGGUCAA